AGGACCUCCUGCUUUCAUAGUAGGGUUUAACAAAGCAGCCACACCAAAAAUAGGAGGGAUUGGAAAAAAAUAUUUUUUAAAUUUCUUUUUCAUUUCAAUUAUUGCAUUUUCAUAAAUUUCCCCUCCCUCGUUAAAAUCAACAAAUAAAUUAGCAAGUGCGGCAAUAUAUACUAAACAGUUUGAAACAGUUGGAUAAUAUUGGCCAGAUAAAGCAGUUGUAGCCACAU
This 227-nucleotide long non-coding RNA is filed under the name Nicotiana benthamiana. Its description in RNAcentral is "long non-coding RNA (NBEN_LNC014447)". Lineage: Eukaryota; Viridiplantae; Streptophyta; Magnoliopsida; Solanales; Solanaceae. The record is from RNAcentral.